Molecule: ribosomal RNA, 460 nt
Filed under: uncultured bacterium
Lineage: Bacteria
Description: partial 16S ribosomal RNA
Rfam family: Bacterial small subunit ribosomal RNA
Source: RNAcentral
CCUACGGGGGGCAGCAGUGGGGAAUAUUGGGCAAUGGACGCAAGUCUGACCCAGCCAAGUAGCGUGAAGGAUGACUGCCCUCUGGGUUGUAAACUUCUUUUAUAUGGGAAUAAAAUGUUCCACGUGUGGGAUUUUGUAUGUACCAUAUGAAUAAGGAUCGGCUAACUCCGUGCCAGCAGCCGCGGUAAUACGGAGGAUCCGAGCGUUAUCCGGAUUUAUUGGGUUUAAAGGGAGCGUAGGUGGAUUGUUAAGUCAGUUGUGAAAGUUUGCGGCUCAACCGUAAAAUUGCAGUUGAAACUGGCAGUAUUGAGUACAGUAGAGGUGGGCGGAAUUCGUGGUGUAGCGGUGAAAUGCUUAGAUAGCACGAAGAACUCCGAUUGCGAAGGCAGUUCACUGGACUGCAACUGACACUGAGGCUCGAAAGUGUGGGUAUCAAACAGGAUUAGAUACCCGAGUAGUC